GACGAACGCUGGCGGCGUGCUUAACACAUGCAAGUCGAACGGUGAAGCUCCAGCUUGCUGGAGUGGAUCAGUGGCGAACGGGUGAGUAACACGUGAGCAACCUGCCCCUGACUCUGGAAUAAGCGCUGGAAACGGCGUCUAAUACUGGAUACGAGAAGGGUCCGCAUGGGCACUUUCUGGAAAGUUUUUCGGUUGGGGAUGGGCUCGCGGCCUAUCAGCUUGUUGGUGAGGUAAUGGCUCACCAAGGCGACGACGGGUAGCCGGCCUGAAAGGGCGACCGGCCACACGGGGACUGGGACACGGCCCAGACUCCUACGGGAGGCAGCGGUGGGAAUAUUGCACAAUGGGCGAAAGCCUGAUGCAGCGACGCCGCGUGAGGGAUGACGGCCUUCGGGUUGUAAACCUCUUUCAGCAGGGAAGAAGCGAAAGUGACGGUACCUGCAGAAGAAGCACCGGCUAACUACGUG
Molecule: ribosomal RNA, 467 nt
Filed under: uncultured bacterium
Lineage: Bacteria
Description: partial 16S ribosomal RNA
Rfam family: Bacterial small subunit ribosomal RNA
Source: RNAcentral